UUCCGGUUGAUCCUGCCAGAGGUUACUGCUAUCGGUGUUCGCCUAAGCCAUGCGAGUCAUAUGUAGCAAUACAUGGCGUACUGCUCAGUAACACGUGGAUAACCUGCCCUUGGGACCGGCAUAACCCCGGGAAACUGGGGAUAAUUCCGGAUAACGCAUAUUUGCUGGAAUGCUUUAUGCGUCAAAAGGAUUCGUCUGCCCAAGGAUGGGUCUGCGGCCUAUCAGGUAGUAGUGGGUGUAAUGUACCUACUAGCCAGCGACGGGUACGGGUUGUGAGAGCAAGAGCCCGGAGAUGGAUUCUGAGACAUGAAUCCAGGCCCUACGGGGCGCAGCAGGCGCGAAAACUUUACAAUGCGGGAAACCGUGAUAAGGGGACACCGAGUGCCAGCAUCAUAUGCUGGCUGUCCGGAUGUGUAAAAUACAUCCGUUAGCAAGGGCCGGGCAAGACCGGUGCCAGCCGCCGCGGUAACACCGGCGGCCCGAGUGGUGAUCGUGAUUAUUGGGUCUAAAGGGUCCGUAGCCGGUUUGGUCAGUCCUCCGGGAAAUCUGAUAGCUCAACUAUUAGGCUUUCGGGGGAUACUGCCAGACUUGGAACCGGGAGAGGUAAGAGGUACUACAGGGGUAGGAGUGAAAUCUUGUAAUCCCUGUGGGACCACCUGUGGCGAAGGCGUCUUACCAGAACGGGUUCGACGGUGAGGGACGAAAGCUGGGGGCACGAACCGGAUUAGAUACCCGGGUAGUCCCAGCCGUAAACGAUGCUCGCUAGGUGUCAGGCAUGGCGCGACCGUGUCUGGUGCCGCAGGGAAGCCGUGAAGCGAGCCACCUGGGAAGUACGGCCGCAAGGCUGAAACUUAAAGGAAUUGGCGGGGGAGCACAACAACGGGUGGAGCCUGCGGUUUAAUUGGAUUCAACGCCGGG
This 918-nucleotide ribosomal RNA is filed under the name uncultured archaeon. Its description in RNAcentral is "bacterial SSU rRNA". It matches the Rfam family "Archaeal small subunit ribosomal RNA", at positions 1 to 922 of the family's 1478-position model. The record is from RNAcentral.